This 422-nucleotide ribosomal RNA is filed under the name uncultured bacterium. RNAcentral describes it as "bacterial SSU rRNA". It matches the Rfam family "Bacterial small subunit ribosomal RNA", at positions 358 to 773 of the family's 1533-position model. The record is from RNAcentral.
GGAAUAUUGCGCAAUGGGCGAAACCCUGAAGGAGCGACGCCGCGUGGGGGAUGAAGGUCUUCGGAUUGUAAACCCCUGUCAUCUGGGAUCAAUGCUUACGACCUAACACGUCGUAAGUUGCUAGUACCGGAAGAGGAAGCAGUGGCUAACUCUGUGCCAGCCGCCGCGGUAAUACAGAGACUGCAAGCGUUGUUCGGAUUCAUUGGGCGUAAAGGGUGCGCAGGCGGUCCGGUAAGUCGGGUGUGAAAUCUCGAGGCUUAACCUCGAGCGGUCAUUCGAAACUACCGGGCUCGAGGACUGGAGAGGAGACUGGAAUAGUCGGUGUAGCAGUGAAAUGCGUAGAGAUCGACUAGAACACCGGUGGCGAAGGCGGGUCUCUGGACAGUUCCUGACGCUCAGGCACGAAAGCCAGGGGAGCAAAC